UAAAAAAGUGCCUGUGUCAACCAUUCUUUCAUCACCUCUCCUAGAGUCUUCAGUUGAGACGACCUCUGAAGUGUCUGCUACAAUGAGUGAUGUAGUUAAUGAGAUCCAGUGACACUGUGACCCCGACCUCUUGUGGCCUUAGCUUUCGUCAUCCAUCUUCUUAGCUCCUCAGGCUGUGAGGCACUGUAUGGAAACAGGAUUAAGCAAGUGUGAAUAAACAAGUUCAAGCGUUUUCUGUCAUGGAUGCGAAAACAGGACAACAGUGAAAUGACACAUUAAUGUCUCAAAACUCCACGAUUAUGGAUUAUCAUUUUGCCAGUUCUCCUGAACAAGGAUUCUCCUGUGCUGAAGAUUCUUCUAUGCAUUACUGUUCCUUGAUUUCUGAAAACCCUUUUGGCACACUGUAUCCUGGUAAGUUCUCUGAGCGAAGCAGGACCUGCUUAUGAAGUCUGUCAUAAGAUAACAACAACAACCUGGAGUCAGAAGACAGAGAGGGAAGAGACUGUCCAGGGUUCUUGCUGCUGAUUUCUCUUCCGAUCUAAUCAAAUCAGUAUAGCCACCCAGGCAGGACUCAUAACCCU
This 581-nucleotide long non-coding RNA is filed under the name Salvator merianae (Argentine black and white tegu). RNAcentral's name for it is "lncRNA (ENSSMRG00000000576.1)". Lineage: Eukaryota; Metazoa; Chordata; Lepidosauria; Squamata; Teiidae. The record is from RNAcentral.